RNAcentral lists this ribosomal RNA (493 nucleotides) under Quadrulella symmetrica. RNAcentral's name for it is "SSU rRNA". It matches the Rfam family "Eukaryotic small subunit ribosomal RNA", at positions 973 to 1453 of the family's 1831-position model. The record is from RNAcentral. Lineage: Eukaryota; Tubulinea; Elardia; Arcellinida; Hyalospheniidae.
UUUAUCAAGAAACGAAAGUUGCGGGCGCGAAGAUGAUCAGAUACCGUCGUAGUCGCAACUAUAAAACUUUGUCGCCCAAGGGGUAGUGGUAGUUACAUGAUGACACCCCUAUAACUUUGUGAGAAAUCAUAAGGAUUUGGACUCUGGGGGAAGUAUGGUCGCAAGGCUGAAACUUAAAGGAAUUGACGGAAGGGCACCACCAGGAGUGGAACCUGCGGCUUAAUUUGACUCAACACGGGGAAACUUACCAGGUCCAGACACAGUGAGGAUUGACAGAUUGAUAGCUCUUUCUUGAUUUUGUGGAAAGUGGUGCAUGGCCGUUUUUAGUUGGUGGAUUGAUUUGUCUGGUUAAUUCCGUUAACGAACGAGACCUAAACCUACUAACUAGUUAAUGGUAACUUGGACUCCAUAAUAAAUUUUCAUAUGGAGACCUCUAAAUUUAUCCAAACUUCUUAGAGGGACUCUUUAUACUUAGUGAAUGGAAGUUAGCACA